Molecule: long non-coding RNA, 2135 nt
Organism: Bos taurus (domestic cattle)
Lineage: Eukaryota; Metazoa; Chordata; Mammalia; Artiodactyla; Bovidae
Source: Ensembl
GCCGCUCCUGGACCUCCACUCCCCUCCCCAUCCCUCUACCUGCAGACUCCUCUCCUCCCUUCAGUUGUGCACUCAGGUACUUGGUUGGGAUGCUGUGGAGACAAGGAUGUCCUCAGCUGCUUCCCAGUCGUGAUCAACGAGACCAGAGAGGCUGAGAAACUUGAGGAUUGACACCGUUAUCAUCUUCAUUUCACAGUCGUGAUCAACGAGACCAGAGAGGCUGAGAAACUUGUCCUGGGUCACUCAGCUAGAAGGCAGUUGACCUGCGGAGUUGAUCACGGUGUUCCAAGAACUGCCAGGUUCUGAAGCACAGGUCCCGCUCACUGAUGGAGUCCAGACCAGUGACUGCACUAGUUGUCUAGAACUUUCAUAUCCCUUUUUGCACCCCUGCCCAUCCUUCCGCAGAGGAGGACCCUACUUUGCAUACCCCAGGGGCGUGGUCAGCCCUUCUGGUCAGCCCUUCUAGCUUGGUCCUUGGCACUGUCCUGGCCCCCGUCACUCUGCAGAAACUGCUGUGGCGCCAUAGGUCGCUGCGCCUGCCGCACACUUUGCACGAGAAGAGGGGGAAAGCCACAAGAAGAGGAAGGCGACAUUGAAGGACAGCAAGGUUGCUGGUGACACACACAUGGAUUUGCUGGCGCAAGGCCCACAGCUCCAUGGUUUUGAUAAGAGUGGGUGGCCCCUGGGGUCAAGUCCUCACCUGAGCUUGUCUUGGCUUCUGGCUCUCUGAUUCCCUGCCGGCUUGGGUUUUCCCUGUCUCCUGUGGGAGAGGAAGGGUGGGGGGAGUGAUCUGUUUCACUUCUUAGGGAACCCUAAUAACCUUCUGGACAGAUUAGCUCUGAGGUCCCCUCUGGACAUGCCUGGCAGGAGUCAGCCCUCAACUAGCAAACACUAGGGAUAAAGAGAGUUUUUGCCAGGUAUUUGGGAAUUGAUCCUCAGACAGUUUCAUUCCUGCAAGGGAGUGUCUCACAUUAAAGUGAUUUACAUCACCUUCUAGUUCAUGCAUAGGACCCUUAGGAGCUUGGUUAACUUGAGUUAGUACCCCUUCCCCAUCAUGCCCUGUUAAAGUAUUAGUUGCUCAGUUGUGUCCGACUCUGCAAUCCCAGACUGUAGCCUGCCAGGCUCCUCUGUUCAUGGGAUUCUCCAGGCAAGAACACUAGAGUGGAUUCCCAUGCCCUCCUCAAGGGGAUCUUCCUGACCCAGGGAUCAAACCUGGGUCUCCUGCAUUGCAGGCAGUUUCUUUACUGUCUGAGCCACCAGGGGAAACCCCACCAUUCCCUGUUCUCUGCUCAGACAGAAAUUCUACUGCUGGCCCCAGACCUCAUCCAGAUGCCAUGUGCCUUCACUAAGGUAUUGUAUCCUCAGAGUCCCUGAUAUCCUUGCCCUGAAGGAGUUAGGAGUAACAGGUCAGGAUGGGACUCUAGGAUGACCCGCAGAGGUCUCAAGCAUUUCCUGUUUCUGCAGCCUGAGGAACCAGGUACCUUGUCAGACUCUUGCAUUUUUGCCAAACUCACAGGUUAUAGAUUAUAUCUCAUUGUUGUUUAAAUAUGCAUUUCUCUCUUUAUAGUUGUAUGAAAAAUCAUAUUUAUUAUAACUAAUUUUAAAGACUUUAUUGAAGGACAGCAUACAAAAAUGAUGUUAAAGUGUAAAACUUGAUUAAAUUUCACAAAGUAAACACAAUUGUAACCAUUACUCUGCUUAAGAAAAAGCAUUACUAUCUCCUAAGAAGAUGUUCUUCUGUCCCUUUCUUGUCAUGACUCUCUUCUGCCUCUAAACAAUGAUAUUUGUUAUCUUUCCCAAGAAUUGUGGUUAAAUUUGUUUUUAUUUUGGGCUGUGCUGGGUCUUCAUUGCUGCGUGCGGUCUUUCUCUAGUUGUGCCCAGCGGGGGCUGCUCUCCAGUUGUGGUGCCUGCGACUGUCAUCACAGUGGCUGCACUUGCUGCAGCAUGCGCACUAGAGGGCAGGCUCAGCAGUUGUGGUGUACGGGCUCAGUUGCCCUGUGGCAUGUGGGAUCUUCUGGGACCAGGGAUUGAACCAUUACCACCUUCAUUGCAAGGCAGAUUCUUAACCACCACCAGGGAAGUUCCAGAACUGUGGGAUUUUUUAGCCAAAUUUUAUUGAGCGGUUUGCUUUUUUC